GUGCUUGCUUUGGCAGCACAUAUACUAAAACUGGAACAAUACAGAAAGAUUAGCAUGGCCCCUGUGCAAGGAUGACAUGCAAAUUUGUGAAGCGUUUCAUAGUUUU
This 106-nucleotide small nuclear RNA is filed under the name Procavia capensis (Cape rock hyrax). The record is from RNAcentral. Lineage: Eukaryota; Metazoa; Chordata; Mammalia; Hyracoidea; Procaviidae.